Molecule: long non-coding RNA, 259 nt
Organism: Conger conger (European conger)
Lineage: Eukaryota; Metazoa; Chordata; Actinopteri; Anguilliformes; Congridae
Exons: 3
Source: RefSeq, a predicted model, not a curated record
UGUUGCAGACAGCCUUGUUGUGGUUGGUGCAGCUCUGGGCGUGUUAGCGUGUCUAAUUAUGGCUGCUCUUGCGGCCAUACUCAGAAGAAGAUCAGUUUCAAAGUCACUUGCGGACUUGUCCAUCUCUGUAGACAGUGUACUGGAUGAAGAGGACCCUGAGCAUGUGUAUGAUGAAUACACUGAGGCAGUUGUAUACAGCACUAUUGGUCUGCCCCAGGAGGGUUCUGAGCAGGCGUACUGCACGGUGCAGUUCUCGGAC